RNAcentral lists this ribosomal RNA (492 nucleotides) under uncultured bacterium. RNAcentral's name for it is "partial 16S ribosomal RNA". It matches the Rfam family "Bacterial small subunit ribosomal RNA", at positions 29 to 507 of the family's 1533-position model. The record is from RNAcentral.
AGUGAACGCUGGCGGUAUGCCUAACACAUGCAAGUCGAACGGCAGCACAGUAAGAGCUUGCUCUUACGGGUGGCGAGUGGCGGACGGGUGAGGAAUACAUCGGAAUCUACUUUUUCGUGGGGGAUAACGUAGGGAAACUUACGCUAAUACCGCAUACGACCUACGGGUGAAAGCAGGGGAUCUUCUGACCUUGCGCGAUUGAAUGAGCCGAUGUCGGAUUAGCUAGUUGGCUGGGUAAAGGCACACCAAGGCGACGAUCCGUAGCUGGUCUGAGAGGAUGAUCAGCCACACUGGAACUGAGACACGGUCCAGACUCCUACGGGAGGACGCAGUGGGGAAUAUUGGACAAUGGGCGAGAGCCUGAUCCAGCCAUACCGCGUGGGUGAAGAAGGCGUUCGGGUUGUAAAGCCAUUUUGUUGGGAAAGAAAAGCAGCAGGUUAAUACCCCGCUGUUCUGACGGUACCCAAAGAAUAAGCACCGGCUAACUUCGUG